This 198-nucleotide ribosomal RNA is filed under the name Aeromonas salmonicida subsp. salmonicida 01-B526. RNAcentral describes it as "partial 16S ribosomal RNA". It matches the Rfam family "Bacterial small subunit ribosomal RNA", at positions 202 to 403 of the family's 1533-position model. The record is from RNAcentral. Lineage: Bacteria; Pseudomonadati; Pseudomonadota; Gammaproteobacteria; Aeromonadales; Aeromonadaceae.
AAAGAUUUAUCGGUGAAAGAUGAGCAUGCGUCCCAUUAGCUAGUUGGUAUGGUAACGGCAUACCAAGGCUACGAUGGGUAGGGGUCCUGAGAGGGAGAUCCCCCACACUGGUACUGAGACACGGACCAGACUCCUACGGGAGGCAGCAGUGAGGAAUAUUGGACAAUGGGCGCAAGCCUGAUCCAGCCAUGCCGCGUG